Molecule: long non-coding RNA, 811 nt
Organism: Bos taurus (domestic cattle)
Lineage: Eukaryota; Metazoa; Chordata; Mammalia; Artiodactyla; Bovidae
Source: Ensembl
GGACAGAGGAGCCUGGCAGGCUACAUUCCAUGGACUCACAGAGUCAGACACGACUGAAGGGAUUUAGCGCAAGCCACUGGGGAAGCCCUAUUGCUCACUAUAGUAGGCUAAAAUAAAGAUUCCUCAGGAUGUUCAAGCCCUAAUCCUCGGAGGAACGUGUCAGUGCUACUUUGUAUGACAAAUGGGACUCUGCAAAUGUGAUCAAGGAGGGACACAUGAGAAGCUGGAGGAGGAGGAAAUAUGAUGUAAGAGACUGGAGUGAUGUACUUUAAAGAGGGAUGAGGAGGCUACAAGCUGAGAAACACAGGAGGCCACUAGAAGUUGGAAAAGAUGUCUAGAUGUCUCCAGGUGCGGCUGGCCUGUAUAAAGAGAGACUCUGCCAGAGGCCAAGAUAACCUGAGCAUUCUUUACUCGAGAAGGCCCAAGGGCAGAAAGGAGGACAGCGGUCUGUUGUUCUGAAGACACCACUAUGAGUUGGCAUCACGGGCAAAUGGCCAGUCUGUGGAAGUGGAUCUGCCUGGCCUAUCUUCUUCUGCUUGUCUUGAUUUUUUCCACAGGAAAGUAUCAGCAGAAAAAGUUCCAGACUGUCUUUUCCUAAGCAGAUUUGUUUUCUGUGUUUAGCAAAUUCCAAACAUCGACCACAACUGCAAACUUCCUCUUCGAACUUAAUAAAGUGUUGCCCUGUAUACCUGAUAUUUUCCCUUGAUAAACAAGUGCAAUAAAUUCUAGAACAACUUUACGUUCACCAAGGGCUUUUUCUGAGAGAGAAAACUUGGAGAAAGAUGCUCUGAGAUGCUUUUACAGAAGUCUA